RNAcentral lists this ribosomal RNA (496 nucleotides) under uncultured bacterium. RNAcentral's name for it is "partial 16S ribosomal RNA". It matches the Rfam family "Bacterial small subunit ribosomal RNA", at positions 28 to 506 of the family's 1533-position model. The record is from RNAcentral.
GAUGAACGCUGGCGGCGUGCCUAAUACAUGCAAGUCGAGCGAACGGACGAGAAGCUUGCUUCUCUGAUGUUAGCGGCGGACGGGCGAGUAACACGUGGAUAACCUACCUAUAAGACUGGGAUAACUUCGGGAAACCGUAGCUAAUACCGGAUAAUAUUUUGAACCGCAUGGUUCAAAAGUGAAAGACGGUCUUGCUGUCACUUAUAGAUGGAUCCGCGCUGCAUUAGCUAGUUGGUAAGGUAACGGCUUACCAAGGCAACGAUGCAUAGCCGACCUGAGAGGGGGAUCGGCCACACUGGAACUGAGACAGGGUCCAGACCCCUAGGGGAGGCAGCAGUAGGGAAUCUUCCGCAAUGGGCGAAAGCCUGACGGAGCAACGCCGCGUGGGUGAUGAAGGUCUUCGGAUCGUAAAACUCUGUUAUUAGGGAAAAAAAUAUGUGUAAGUAACUGUGCCCAUCUUGACGGUACCAAAUCAGAAAGCCACGGCUAACUACGU